UCCUACCGGGAGGCAGCAGGUGGGGAAUAUUGCACAAUGGGCGCAAGCCUGAUGCAGCCAUGCCGCGUGUAUGAAGAAGGCCUUCGGGUUGUAAAGUACUUUCAGCGGGGAGGAAGGGAGUAAAGCAAUACCUACUCAUGACGUACCGCAGAGAGCCCCACUGCCCC
RNAcentral lists this ribosomal RNA (167 nucleotides) under Enterobacter sp. M45. RNAcentral describes it as "partial 16S ribosomal RNA". It matches the Rfam family "Bacterial small subunit ribosomal RNA", at positions 337 to 503 of the family's 1533-position model. Lineage: Bacteria; Pseudomonadati; Pseudomonadota; Gammaproteobacteria; Enterobacterales; Enterobacteriaceae. RNAcentral also lists the same sequence under 1 other name. The record is from RNAcentral.